RNAcentral lists this ribosomal RNA (425 nucleotides) under uncultured bacterium. RNAcentral's name for it is "bacterial SSU rRNA". It matches the Rfam family "Bacterial small subunit ribosomal RNA", at positions 356 to 773 of the family's 1533-position model. The record is from RNAcentral.
GGGGAAUAUUGCACAAUGGGCGCAAGCCUGAUGCAGCCAUGCCGCGUGUAUGAAGAAGGCCUUCGGGUUGUAAAGUACUUUCAGCGAGGAGGAAGGCAUUAAGGUUAAUAACCUUAGUGAUUGACGUUACUCGCAGAAGAAGCACCGGCUAACUCCGUGCCAGCAGCCGCGGUAAUACGGAGGGUGCAAGCGUUAAUCGGAAUUACUGGGCGUAAAGCGCACGCAGGCGGUUUGUUAAGUCAGAUGUGAAAUCCCCGAGCUUAACUUGGGAACUGCAUUUGAAACUGGCAAGCUAGAGUCUUGUAGAGGGGGGUAGAAUUCCAGGUGUAGCGGUGAAAUGCGUAGAGAUCUGGAGGAAUACCGGUGGCGAAGGCGGCCCCCUGGACAAAGACUGACGCUCAGGUGCGAAAGCGUGGGGAGCAAAC